GAUGAACGCUAGCGGCAGGCCUAAUACAUGCAAGUCGGACGGGAUUUGGGAGCUUGCCCCCAAUGAGAGUGGCGCACGGGUGCGUAACACGUAUGUAACCUACCUUAAUCAGGGGGAUAGCCUCUCGAAAGAGAGAUUAACACCGCAUAACAUAUUUUUAUGGCAUCGUAGAAAUAUCAAAUAUUUAUAGGAUUAAGAUGGGCAUGCGGAACAUUAGCUAGUUGGUAAGGUAACGGCUUACCAAGGCUACGAUGUUUAGGGGAUCUGAGAGGAUGACCCCCCACACUGGUACUGAGACACGGACCAGACUCCUACGGGAGGCAGCAGUAAGGAAUAUUGGUCAAUGGGCGCAAGCCUGAACCAGCCAUGCCGCGUGCAGGAAGACGGCCCUAUGGGUUGUAAACUGCUUUUGUACCGGAAUAAACCCUUUUACGUGUAAAAGGCUGAAUGUACGGUAAGAAUAAGGAUCGGCUAACUCCGUGCCAGCAGCCGCGGUAA
RNAcentral lists this ribosomal RNA (498 nucleotides) under uncultured bacterium. Its description in RNAcentral is "partial 16S ribosomal RNA". It matches the Rfam family "Bacterial small subunit ribosomal RNA", at positions 28 to 523 of the family's 1533-position model. The record is from RNAcentral.